AGGACGAACGCUGGCGGCGUGCUUAACACAUGCAAGUCGAGCGGAAAGGCCUUUCGGGGUACUCGAGCGGCGAACGGGUGAGUAACACGUGAGUAGUCUGCCCAUCGCUUCAGGAUAGCCAUCGGAAACGGUGAUUAAUACUGGAUAUGACAUUCCUUCGCAUGUUGGGGUGUGGAAAGUUUUUUCGGCGGUGGAUGUGCUCGCGGCCUAUCAGCUUGGUUGGUGGGUAAUGGACCUACCAAGGCUUUGACGGGUAGCCGGCUGAGAGGGUGACCGGCCACGACUGGGACUGGAGACACGGCCCAGACUCCUACGGGAGCAGCGAGUGGGAAUAGUUGGAACAAGUGGGACGGUAAGCCUGACUCCGAGCAACGCCGCGUGAGGG
RNAcentral lists this ribosomal RNA (385 nucleotides) under uncultured soil bacterium. RNAcentral's name for it is "bacterial SSU rRNA". It matches the Rfam family "Bacterial small subunit ribosomal RNA", at positions 26 to 407 of the family's 1533-position model. The record is from RNAcentral.